Molecule: ribosomal RNA, 500 nt
Filed under: Arthrobacter sp. Dr16
Lineage: Bacteria; Bacillati; Actinomycetota; Actinomycetes; Micrococcales; Micrococcaceae
Description: bacterial SSU rRNA
Rfam family: Bacterial small subunit ribosomal RNA
Source: RNAcentral
AAAAAUACAACUCAGCUACCAUGCAGUCGACGAUGAACCUCACUUGUGGGGGGAUUAGUGGCGAACGGGUGAGUAACACGUGAGUAACCUGCCCUUGACUCUGGGAUAAGCCUGGGAAACCGGGUCUAAUACUGGAUACGACCUUCUGGCGCAUGCCAUGUUGGUGGAAAGCUUUUGUGGUUUUGGAUGGACUCGCGGCCUAUCAGCUUGUUGGUGGGGUAAUGGCCUACCAAGGCGACGACGGGUAGCCGGCCUGAGAGGGUGACCGGCCACACUGGGACUGAGACACGGCCCAGACUCCUACGGGAGGCAGCAGUGGGGAAUAUUGCACAAUGGGCGCAAGCCUGAUGCAGCGACGCCGCGUGAGGGAUGAAGGCCUUCGGGUUGUAAACCUCUUUCAGUAGGGAAGAAGCCGGCCUUUGUGUUGUGGAGACGGCCUGUGCAAAAAACGCCCCGGAUAUAUACGUGCCCACCCCCGCGAAUACACAUGGGGCGCGCGC